AUUUUGGACAAUGGGGGAAACCCUGAUCCAGCCAUCCCGCGUGUGCGAUGAAGGCCUUCGGGUUGUAAAGCACUUUUGGCAGGAAAGAAACGUCGCGGGUUAAUACCCCGCGGAACUGACGGUACCUGCAGAAUAAGCACCGGCUAACUACGUGCCAGCAGCCGCGGUAAUACGUAGGGUGCAAGCGUUAAUCGGAAUUACUGGGCGUAAAGCGUGCGCAGGCGGUUCGGAAAGAAAGAUGUGAAAUCCCAGAGCUUAACUUUGGAACUGCAUUUUUAACUACCGGGCUAGAGUGUGUCAGAGGGAGGUGGAAUUCCGCGUGUAGCAGUGAAAUGCGUAGAUAUGCGGAGGAACACCGAUGGCGAAGGCAGCCUCCUGGGAUAACACUGACGCUCAUGCACGAAAGCGUGGGGAGCAAACAGGA
RNAcentral lists this ribosomal RNA (424 nucleotides) under uncultured bacterium. RNAcentral describes it as "bacterial SSU rRNA". It matches the Rfam family "Bacterial small subunit ribosomal RNA", at positions 361 to 777 of the family's 1533-position model. The record is from RNAcentral.